CUAUUAUAAUUCUCUUUGGGCAUCACUAUUUGACAACUAAUGUCAGGAAUUAUUUACGUAAAAAAAUCAGUUAAAUUCCAAAAUAAUUAAUCUCAGAAACUAUUUAUUGUUUGUUCUUGUUUCGUGAAUUUGAGCUAUCUUAUUAAAUUUAAAAAGUUGUAAAUAAAUUAUACGCAUAAAUUUAAAGUGUUCAAAAUGAUGGCUAGCAAAGCUAUGCCGGAGACGGAGGAGCAAAACAGAAUCCGAUUUCAAGUGGAAUUAGAAUUUGUACAAUGCUUGGCAAAUCCAAAUUAUAUACACUUUUUAGCACAGAGAGGUUACUUAAAAGAACAGACAUUUAUUAAUUAUUUAAAGUACUUACAAUACUGGAGAGAACCAGAGUAUGCCCGGUAUCUCAAGUACCCCAUGUGUCUGCAUUUCCUAGAGCUGUUACAGCAUGAAGCAUUCAGAAGGGAAUGUGUUUCAGCACAGGUGUGUAAAUUCAUGGAUGACCAAGCUAUUCUCUUGUGGCAACACUAUACGCGGCGGCGCACGCGUACGCUGCAGCCACCAGAUGCGCCCGCGCCGCCCGCGCCCCCCGCACCUCCACAACAGGGCGCGCCCAGGCAACAACCCUAAUAUAGUUAUAAUCUGUAUUAAAGUGAAAUGAACUUGCGGAUUUUAUUCUUAGUAAACGGAUGUUGCGGUCGUCGCUGCCGCGCCAGGCAUAGAGCUCGCAGCGUCAGGUAGUAAAGAAGUUCUACAGCGCUCAUUACGCUGAAGCCCAUGCAGAGACCGAGAAGGCCACCUGUAUUAGCUGAAAUUAAUAUAAUGACAUUCACAUCCAGUCAGUGUAAUAAAUUGCAUCGCUUGAUAGCAGGACUGAGAACGAUGGCUGGCGUUUUCCAGCAGAUGUGAGUUGCGAAGUGCACGCACUCGGCUUGUGGCAGCUGAGCGAGGACCGCUUCUUUUGAAGCCUAUAACACAAAAUACCUGGUAGUCGGUGAGCGGUGUGACGCGCAGCAUGUCGGCGACGAGCUCGGCCUCCUUGAGCAGCGCAUGCGCGCCGCCCCAGCGCGUCGCGCCCACUCGCGGCGACCCCACCACCAGGCACCGCAUGCCCGUCUCCAGCGGCGACGACGACACUGCGCCUGCGCCACCGCCUGUCCCACCCAUUUAUCAUUAAUGUUUUUACGAAUAUUUCCUUUAUUAUAUUACUUGCUUAUAAUAAAUUAUUUCACUUUC
RNAcentral lists this unclassified non-coding RNA (1224 nucleotides) under Manduca sexta (tobacco hornworm). RNAcentral's name for it is "mediator of RNA polymerase II transcription subunit 31, transcript variant X1". Lineage: Eukaryota; Metazoa; Arthropoda; Insecta; Lepidoptera; Sphingidae. The record is from RNAcentral.